This 483-nucleotide ribosomal RNA is filed under the name uncultured bacterium. Its description in RNAcentral is "partial 16S ribosomal RNA". It matches the Rfam family "Bacterial small subunit ribosomal RNA", at positions 28 to 523 of the family's 1533-position model. The record is from RNAcentral.
GACGAACGCUGGCGGCGUGCUUAACACACGCAAGUCGAACGGAAAGGCUCCAGCUUGCUGGAGUACUCGAGUGGCGAACGGGUGAGUAACACGUGGGUAAUCUGCCCUGCACUCUGGGAUAAGCCUGGGAAACUGGGUCUAAUACUGGAUAUGACCUUUCUCCUUAUGGGGUUUGGGGGAAAGGUUUUCGGUGUAGGAUGAGCCCGCGGCCUAUUAGCUUGUUGGUGGGGUGAUGGCCUACCAAGGCGACGACGGGUAGCCGGCCUGAGAGGGUGAUCGGCCACAUUGGGACUGAGAUACGGCCCAGACUCCUACGGGAGGCAGCAGUGGGGAAUAUUGCACAAUGGGCGGAAGCCUGAUGCAGCGACGCCGCGUGAGGGAUGACGGCCUUCGGGUUGUAAACCUCUUUCAGCAGGGACGAAGCGUAAGUGACGGUACCUGCAGAAGAAGCACCGGCUAACUACGUGCCAGCCGCCGCGGUAA